UUGAUUCUGAUACAUCAGGACUUCAUGUCACUAAAUGACCAUUUACAGUAGAUGGCAGAUGCAUCAUUGCGCUUUUAAAGGCAACACAUAGAUCUGAUCCUACAUCAAAAUCAUCUUCUUAAAGAACAGAAUCAACUGAUUAUGGCUCAAAACCAGCUCCUCAAACAGCAGCAACUUGAGGGAGAAAAGCAGCAGUCUUUAAGCUUAACACACACAAGUGUGGAGUCAAGUGAAGGGCAAGCUGCCACUGUUUCUAACAUAACUCCUGGUGGUUCAGCUACUUCUAAAAGGGGUGGGCUUCCAGUUAGGGGCAAGGCUUCAAGGGGCAGAAAAAAAAUAACUUUUCUUGGUGCCAGCUAGGCGCAAAGGCACAGCAAACUCCUUAUUUGACUUUUUCAGUCACUGUUUAAAAAAUGCCAUAGAAAUUGAAUGGCACAAUUUAACAUAAUCCUUCAUUUAUGUAUUGGUGGCAGCUAGGUGCAAAGGCACAGCAAACUCCUUAUUUGACUUUUUCAGUCACUGUUUAAAUAAUGCCAUAACAAUUGAGUGGCACGAAUAACAUAAUCCUUCAUUUAUGUAUUGGUGGCAGCUAGGUGCAAAGGCACACAAACUCCUUAUUUGACAUUUUCAGUCACUGUUUCAAAAAUGCCUUAGAAAUGGAGUGUCCGAAUUUCAGUGUACCAGACUUGCCAAUGUGACAGACAUUUUUCAUAAACAUAUCCCAUAGUAGGCUGGCUGAUUCAAAUUACUUUAUAUGAUAUGGUUGAAGCUGCCAUUAGCUUAAAAAAAUAACACGUUUGCAAAAGGGUUGUCCCUGAAGUUAAGGGCAGGCCUUGGUGAGGGGCCUACACGCGCCUGUGUGAGUACAGCCCCAUUGAAAAAAGCUAAAUGCGUCUAUUCCUGCGCUCCCCUGCGGCUGAACACAGAAAAAUGGAACGCUGGGGAGCGCAGCUUCAACCGCUUGUCAGUAAGAGCCCUUAAGGAGUGUGUGUUUUGCGAUUCCUAAACUGCUCCUCAUUUGCCCUGGGUGGUACAAUCAUGAAAUGUGUGCAGUCUAUGGCCCCCAGCACAUUGGGCAUUCCCCCAUGCUGAUAAAAUCCUAGCUUAAGUGCUUGCCACGCUUCAUAUAUAUACAAUAUAUAAUUGGCUGUUAGCUUAAGGAUAGCGUCAAACACUUGGGGAAUGAUUCUACACAUGGUAGGCUGGCUGAUUCCCAUUACUUGGGAUAUGACAUGCUGGAAACUGCCAUUAGCAAGAAAAUAUAAGACAAAGAGAAGUUUACACAUCCCUGCCACAGCAUGACUUCUACCCAUCAUUGGUUCAAUGUCUUCACUUAUAUGAGCAUAUAGCUCCAUAAUAGCCUGAUGAUGUAAGCGAAACAUUAACACAAUUUUGCUAUCUGACAAAUUCUCAAUUAAUGCCACUCUUUGAUGAAAGAUUCUAGGACUUCUGAUGGGGGCAAUCUGACAUUUCUCCUAUGCUGCUGAUGCAUCCUUCUCCUCAAUAUUAUAAUUCCAACAGCAGCACCAAAAAGUUCCUCCUGAAAAUUAUUCAUCUUUCUAGCAAAUACACAAACCCACAAAAAAGUAAUGUUUCAUAGGCAAGGCACAGGAAGCACUUUGGCAGGAUAUAAGCCUUUUCAACUGCUUUGACGCAGGCGCAUUUAUGCACCGGUGUUCCCCACAGGACGCCGCCAUUCCCCACUGGAUGCCGGCGUCCCCCACUGGACGCCGAUGUCCCCCAUUGGUUGCCUGCGCUAAUUCAUCAGCGAGCAUCGUCACUAAACAAAUAGGCAACAUUUUAGCCUAUCAUUCUGUAUGAACAUUAUAUUGUCAGGAUUCCAGAUAAUAAACAUAUAACAACAUUAAAAAAAAUACCUUUCAUUUAUGUAAAAUUGGUAAACUCCCUUCCCUGGUCACAUGUCAUUCUCUGAAAGUGUUAUUGUUUGUCUUACUUUGAAAUUGACAGGAUGCCUGGCCUUGGACCUGCAUGUUCACAGGAGACAAGGGUUUGCACAGCAGGAGCCAGACAGCGGGGAGGAAGAGCCCCAGGAUGCUGCCCCUGAGGAAGAGGGAGAGGCAGGACAGGAGGCAGAAGGUGCUGCCCCUGAGGCAGUAGUUGUGGAGGGCGAAACGGAGAUAGAGGAAGGUACAUUUUUAAAGAGAUUGAAAUGUCUCUGACUAUCCCAGUGAUUGAAGUUUUGUUGUAAAUAAAUUAUGAACUGAUGCACUAGUAUGUGUGUAUAUUUGUAAAGAUACCAUUUUUACAUUAUUUUGUCUUAGACAUCUGGGUGGAUGACUUUGGCGGAUCGCCAGAAAUUAGCCCCCCAGCUGAAGGUAAUUUGUAGUAUGAAUGUGUUCCUUGAAGCUUGUUUGCGCAUCAGUCUCUUGAAGUAUUAAUAAUGUAAAACCCUGUAAAACAAUGAAAUUAAUGGAACCAAAAAACAUGACAAAAUUCCCAAUAUAUUUUUCUCAGAAAUCCACAUGCCAGAGCCAGAACAAGGCAAUCCUGGCAGGAGGCAGAAGUGGAGGCAAGGCCGGAAGAUGCUGCAGAGGCACCAAGCCAGGAGCCCAUCCUUCCUGAGGUCUGGAAAUACGUCCAGCAACUGGAAAAAAGGGUGGAGCUCCUGGAACAGAAACAAUACAAAAAAAUACAAAAACAAACAAUUUUUGAAUAAAAACUAUUUUUUGUAUCCUU
Molecule: long non-coding RNA, 2697 nt
Organism: Xenopus laevis (African clawed frog)
Lineage: Eukaryota; Metazoa; Chordata; Amphibia; Anura; Pipidae
Exons: 2
Source: RefSeq, a predicted model, not a curated record